GAUGAACGCUGGCGGCGUGCCUAAUACAUGCAAGUCGAGCGAACAGACGAGGAGCUUGCUCCUCUUACGUUAGCGGCGGACGGGUGAGUAACACGUGGAUAACCUACCUAUAAGACUGGGAUAACUUCGGGAAACCGGAGCUAAUACCGGAUAAUAUAUUUAACCGCAUGGUUCAAUAGUGAAAGACGGUUUUGCUGUCACUUAUAGAUGGAUCCGCGCCGCAUUAGCUAGUUGGUAAGGUAACGGCUUACCAAGGCAACGAUGCGUAGCCGACCUGGGAGGGUGAUCGGCCACACUGGAACUGAGACACGCUCCAGACUCCUACGGGAGGAAGCAGUAGGGAAUCUUCCGCAAUGGGCGAAAGCCUGACGGAGCAACGCCGCGUGAGUGAUGAAGGUCUUCGGAUCGUAAAACUCUGUUAUUAGGGAAGAACAAAUGUGUAAGUAACUAUGCACGUCUUGACGGUACCUAAUCAGAAAGCCACGGCUAACUACGUG
This 497-nucleotide ribosomal RNA is filed under the name uncultured bacterium. RNAcentral describes it as "partial 16S ribosomal RNA". It matches the Rfam family "Bacterial small subunit ribosomal RNA", at positions 28 to 507 of the family's 1533-position model. The record is from RNAcentral.